ACAAGCUGAGUUAAUAGGAAGUUUUAGCUCUUAAAGACUUUCUCAACAUUUCCCUAAUAUAUAUAGAAUAAAUAACAUUUAGCACUGCCCUUAGCGGGCCCACAGAUAGAUUUUGUCAUCUUCAAUAGUGAUGAUGAAUUGGACAAAAGGACAAAAAAAACCAGAGCUUGAUCAGCAACCACCGACAGAAAUUGUAAAGAGAAAGCCGUAGGCGUGAGAGUUUUUGUCGGUGGUAGGAAGCUUUUGCUUGCAAAUUUUUAAAUUGACUCAGACGCCACCCAGAUAGGAGACAAUAGACCUUACAGGCCAAUAGCAGGUAUUUGGAGAAGCCGUGAUGCUCUCAGGCCUUGAGGCUUUGCAACGCAAUCUUUUUGCAGUUCCUUCCAGAAAUUAUUAAUAGUUUUGCACUCAAAAAAAUUGCAAAGAUCCAUUGCCAUCCCUUCUUGAUAAUCAGAUCUACCAAGAUCUCAAAUUAGGGAAUGGAUGGACAUGCUUGGACCAUGGUAGUCAGCAUCCAUUUUGAAGCUAAAACUAUGAUAGAUAUCGCAGAAUCACACCGUCAAUUAUCAUUUUUUUUUUCAUUCAUUGGAAAAUACACCGUCAUUAUCAUUGAAAAUCAUGUGGUAAGAAAAAAAGGAUGAACCCAGGUGAUAAGUAGUACUCUAUAAGCAUUCAACACUCUAUACCGAGCUGCAGAUAUAUUUGGCGCCAACUUUUCUUCCAGUCUUCACAAUACUUUGAAAAAAUGAAAAAGAAUUUUACACUAAAAUGAAGAAUUACCGAAUGAAUUGCCUUCCCUUCUCUCACUUUGCUACUGCAAAAGUGCAUGAUGUGCAAUUACUUCUGCAAGCAACCUAUAAGGAAUUGCAUCCAUCAUAUUAUUUGCAUUAGGCAACUUCAAACUGUUGGAUGCAUCCCACAUGCUAGUGAUCUUUGCCUUACCCACAUGGCUGAUCAUUUUCGUGGUUUUCUUAACAAUGUAUCGAACACUUGAGAGUCCAACUAAAUUGUACCAUUUAUAAAGCAUAUCUGCUGAUUCCUUGGCUAUUAUUGUGCCCCUUCAGAGAUCCACCUUGAUUCGUGAAUCUCAGCCAAGGGAUUCACUAUGAACCCACCACCACCCUGAAGCUGUAAUCUGUGACUCUCCAAGUUUUGCGUUCCCGUAUUGCCAUUUUUAACAGCUCUAUGGCGAAUGGCAGCCAAUGAUGGAGUGCCAGUAGAAGAGAACCUUGAGGUUGAAUAGCAGCUUUCUGUUUUCCUCCAGAACUUGGAGCUCAAAAAAUCAGCACCAGGCAGCAUGCAACAUGUGGUUCUGUGGGAGUUGGUCAUCCUUCCACUUGAUACAGCCAAGUCAUAUGAGAUCUCGUCCAGUGCCAAUUCUAAGCCAUGAACACGUGUCUCAAGAGAACGCAUCCCACUUUGUGAAGUCCCAAUGAAUUUCUGUAGGAGAUCUUGUAGGUUAGAUUGCUGCCUUUCAAUCUGAACAAGCUGGUUGCGGAUCAAAGAUAAAUCUUCACACUCUUUGUGGUUAGUAUGGUGAUUCUCAAUAACAUUGCUGGCUACAACAGUUGAUGCCGGACUCUCAUCUUGGCAAGGAACCACACGAGAUCCAGACUUCAUCCCACCAAAUUUGAGCAUUUUGUCAUCAGAAUUCUUACUCAGAAGGGUCCAUUUUGUUUCUGGCUUUGCCAUCUUUCUUUUUGGGGCACUAUCAUUAUCACCAAUCCCAGUUGCAGUACUAUUAGGAAUUGCAACUUCAACUUUCCAGUCCAAGGGCCUCUUGCAGUCCACUUUUCUGAACAAUGAUGGAGCCAUUUUCUUUUCAGCCCUCGUUAAAGAACCUCUCCUCCUAGCCAUAUUCACUGCUGAAUGAUAAGGUGGAGUAGUCCUGCUCGCUAAACUGGUUUUUUUCCUCAUUCGAGGGGCUUCAGAACCAGCAGCACAAGAACUUUUGGAACCAAUUGGAUAGCGUCCAUCACUUGCAUCCUCUUUUGAAGAAACCUGAGAUGGAGGUGGUGGCGAUACAUCCUCAGAAACAUCUGGAACCUGCUUCCAUGCUUCGAUCAUCUGAUUCAUCACUUCCCUUGCAGCUUUCACCUUAUCGAAUUUCCGUUUCUCAAAAACUUUCAAGCACCCACUCUUGAACUCCGCCAUGGCAUCUCUCUCCACAACUGCCAACCUCCCGAGCGCCUCCGCUGCUGCCUUCCUCGCUGCCCAGUCCUCGCUGC
This 2228-nucleotide unclassified non-coding RNA is filed under the name Hevea brasiliensis (rubber tree). The record is from RNAcentral. Lineage: Eukaryota; Viridiplantae; Streptophyta; Magnoliopsida; Malpighiales; Euphorbiaceae.